Hydra vulgaris (swiftwater hydra) is the source of this 354-nucleotide long non-coding RNA. RefSeq lists it as uncharacterized. Lineage: Eukaryota; Metazoa; Cnidaria; Hydrozoa; Anthoathecata; Hydridae. The record is from RefSeq and is a predicted model, not a curated record.
AAUUAUCUUCAAUACUAUUGAUUCGUCGAUCGGAAUAUAUUGUUUAUUUAAUUAAUAAAUGACUUUAAAAUUAUGUAAAUAAUAAACCUGUUUUAUGCGGUUAGAAACUACUUAUUAAAUUGGCUGUUUAGCCAAAAAAUGUUAACUAGAAGAAGCAAAAGUGGAUGGCGUGGUGCCAGUAAGAUGGUACCGAUAUAAUUUAGUCUCAAUUAAGUUAGUUGCAGACGAAAAAUAAAACCUGUAAAAAGUUUCUGUCUAUAUUUACUUGUUCAAGUGCCAGUGAAACGAACGAUAGAAAAGAAAAAGCAUUCAGAAGCAUUGCAAUUUUAUUUUUUAUAUGUUUUUAAAUGAUCU